AGCAAGGUUAACCGAAUAGGGGAGCCGUAGGGAAACCGAGUCUUAACCGGGCGUUAAGUUGCAGGGUAUAGACCCGAAACCCGGUGAUCUAGCCAUGGGCAGGUUGAAGGUUGGGUAACACUAACUGGAGGACCGAACCGACUAAUGUUGAAAAAUUAGCGGAUGACCUGUGGCUGGGGGUGAAAGGCCAAUCAAACCGGGAGAUAGCUGGUUCUCCCCGAAAGCUAUUUAGGUAGCGCCUCGUGAAUUCAUCUCCGGGGGUAGAGCACUGUUUCGGCUAGGGGGCCAUCCCGGCUUACCAACCCGAUGCAAACUGCGAAUACCGGAGAAUGUUAUCACGGGAGACACACGGCGGGUGCUAACGUCCGUCGUGAAGAGGGAAACAACCCAGACCGCCAGCUAAGGUCCCAAAGUCAUGGUUAAGUGGGAAACGAUGUGGGAAGGCCCAGACAGCCAGGAUGUUGGCUUAGAAGCAGCCAUCAUUUAAAGAAAGCGUAAUAGCUCACUGGUCGAGUCGGCCUGCGCGGAAGAUGUAACGGGGCUAAACCAUGCACCGAAGCUGCGGCAGCGAACGUAUCACCCAAGACAACUUUGCGGAGUUGACGAUUGACGGAGCGAAGCGACGUCAAAGCG
RNAcentral lists this ribosomal RNA (633 nucleotides) under Salmonella enterica subsp. enterica. RNAcentral's name for it is "partial 23S ribosomal RNA". It matches the Rfam family "Bacterial large subunit ribosomal RNA", at positions 639 to 1263 of the family's 2925-position model. The record is from RNAcentral. Lineage: Bacteria; Pseudomonadati; Pseudomonadota; Gammaproteobacteria; Enterobacterales; Enterobacteriaceae.